Molecule: ribosomal RNA, 403 nt
Filed under: Verrucomicrobiota bacterium
Lineage: Bacteria; Pseudomonadati; Verrucomicrobiota
Description: Verrucomicrobia bacterium partial 16S ribosomal RNA
Rfam family: Bacterial small subunit ribosomal RNA
Source: RNAcentral
UGGGGAAUAUUGCACAAUGGGGGAAACCCUGAUGCAGCGACGCCGCGUGAGCGAAGAAGGUUUUCGAAUCGUAAAGCUCUGUCCUAUGAGAAGAUAAUGACGGUAUCAUAGGAGGAAGCCCCGGCUAAUUACGUGCCAGCAGCCGCGGUAAUACGUAUGGGGCGAGCGUUGUCCGGAAUUAUUGGGCGUAAAGGGUACGUAGGCGGUCUAUUAAGUCAGGUGUGAAAGCGUGAGGCUUAACCUCAUUAAGCACUUGAAACUGAUAGACUUGAGUGAAGGAGAGGAAAGUGGAAUUCCUAGUGUAGCGGUGAAAUGCGUAGAUAUUAGGAGGAAUACCGGUGGCGAAGGCGACUUUCUGGACUUUUACUGACGCUCAGGUACGAAAGCGUGGGGAGCAAACAGG